GCAAACUUGGUCAUUUAGAGGAAGUAAAAGUCGUAACAAGGUUUCCGUAGGUGAACCUGCGGAAGGAUCAUUAACGAAUUAUAAUGCUGAGGUUGUAGCUGGCCUUUCAAUCGAGAGGUAUGUGCACGCCUUGGUUAUUCCAAAUUCUUAUACCUCUGUGCACUUUACAUAGAAGAUUUAUUAGUUGGGUGAAAAGGAGGCUUGACCUCCCGGCAAUUCGACUCAAUAAUCUUCUGUGGUUCAUACAUUUAUACCCGUCAGUUCAGAAUGUAAUACCGCGUUUAACGCAAACUAUAUACAACUUUCAGCAACGGAUCUCUUGGCUCUCGCAUCGAUGAAGAACGCAGC
Molecule: unclassified non-coding RNA, 348 nt
Filed under: uncultured fungus
Lineage: Eukaryota; Fungi
Description: partial contains small subunit ribosomal RNA, internal transcribed spacer 1, and 5.8S ribosomal RNA
Rfam family: Eukaryotic small subunit ribosomal RNA (bases 1-73)
Source: RNAcentral